UUAAAAAUUUUAUUCUAAAAAAUUUUUAAAAAAAUAGGUAAAGGUGUAGACCACAAUUAAGUUAAAAUGGAUUACAAUAAAUUCUAUUUAAGGAUUUGAUUAUAAUAUAUCUCUAAAAGGGGAUUUAAAAGUAAAUUUUUAAUAAUAUUUUAUUUUGAAUAAGAUAAUAAAUGUGCACAUAUCGCCCGUCACCCUUAUCCCAAGAUAAGGUAAGUCGUAACAUAGUUGAUGUUCUAGAAAGAGUAUCAAGAUUUAUUAAGCUUUUAGCAUUUCAUUUACACUGAAAAGAAUCUUUAUUUAUAAAAAAAUUUUUUAUAUAAAAAAUAUUUAUUGUAUAAAUUUUAUGUAAUUACAAAAAUUAACUGAAAAGGAAUAAAUAAAAAUUUUAAAAGAAAUCUUAUGUUCCUUUUGUAUCAGGAAUGAACAAAAAAAUUUAUAUAUAAUAAAUAUCCUGAAAUAAAAAGAUCUAUCAUUUUAAUUAAAUAAUGUAACAUAAUUAUUAUAAUAAAAUUAUAGAAACUAAACAUUAAACGUUUUUUAUAAUAUCCGGUAUUCUUUUAAUAGGAAACCUUUUAAAAAGAUCUAAAAUAUAAUUUUUGGGUCAAAUUUUUUUUUAAUCUUACUAAUUAAUAAGAAUUAAAGUAUCUAAAAUGUUUAAAAACAAGUCACCUAAUAAUUUCUAAUCUUAAUAUGAGAAUAAAUUUUUAAAAAUUAAUAAUGUUUGUAUUAGUAAAUAAAUUAUCUUAAAAAUAAGAAUUCAGCCCAAAUUAAAUGACUGUUUAUCAAAAACAUUGCUUAAAUAAUUACUUUAAGUAAAAUCUGCUCCAUGUAAAAUAAAUAGCCGCAGGAUACCCUGUGCUAAGGUAGCAUAAUCAUUAACCUUCUAAUUAAAGGCUGGAAUGAACGAUUUUACACUUUAAUUAUUUUUUUUUUUUAAAUUAUUAAAAUUAUAUUAAAUAUAAAAAUGUAUUUAUAAAAUAAAAAGACGAUAAGACCCUAUUGAACUUUACUAAAGUUUAGCUGGGGAAGCUAAUUAAAAACAAUUUUAAUUCAAAUAGAAAAAAGAAUCCAAUAAAAUUGAUUAUAAUAAGUUACCAUAGGGAUAACAGCGUAAUGUUUUUAAAAAGCUCUUAUUAAAAAAAAAGAUUGCGACCUCGAUGUUGAAUUAAAAUUACUCUAAGACGCAACUGUAUUAGAAGUAAGUCUGUUCGACUUUUAAAUAUUUACAUGAUUUGAGUUCAAAUCGGCGUAAGCCAGAUUGGUUUCUAUCUUUUAAAAAAUUUUGUUUAGUACGAAAGGACCAAUAAAGUUAUUUUAAAUUUCUUAAUAGCAAACAAAUGCAUUAGAAUUAGAAUCUAAUAAUAUACUAAUAACAACUGUA
Molecule: ribosomal RNA, 1381 nt
Filed under: Linyphia triangularis
Lineage: Eukaryota; Metazoa; Arthropoda; Arachnida; Araneae; Linyphiidae
Description: large subunit ribosomal RNA
Source: RNAcentral